GACAGAGGGUGCAAACGUUGUUCGGAAUUACUGGGCGUAAAGCGCGUGUAGGCGGCUUGGCAAGUCGGGUGUGAAAGCCCUGGGCUCAACCUAGGAAGUGCACUCGAAACUGCCUCGCUCGAGUAUCGGAGAGGAAAGCGGAAUUCUCGGUGUAGAGGUGAAAUUCGUAGAUAUCGAGAGGAACACCGGUGGCGAAGGCGGCUUUCUGGACGGUUACUGACGCUGAGACGCGAAAGCGUGGGGAGCAAACAGG
This 253-nucleotide ribosomal RNA is filed under the name uncultured bacterium. RNAcentral describes it as "partial 16S ribosomal RNA". It matches the Rfam family "Bacterial small subunit ribosomal RNA", at positions 524 to 776 of the family's 1533-position model. The record is from RNAcentral.